AACGAACGCUGGCGGCAUGCCUAACACAUGCAAGUCGAACGAGACCUUCGGGUCUAGUGGCGCACGGGUGCGUAACGCGUGGGAACCUGCCCUUAGGUUCGGAAUAACUCUCCGAAAGGGGUGCUAAUACCGGAUAAUGUCUUCGGACCAAAGAUUUAUCGUCUUUGGAUGGGCCCGCGUUGGUUUAGCUAGUUGGUAGGGUAAAAGCCUACCAAGGCGACGAUCCAUAGCUGGUCUGAGAGGAUGAUCAGCCACACUGGGACUGAGACACGGCGCAGAAUCCUACGGGAGGCAGCAGUGGGGAAUAUUGGACAAUGGGCGGAAGCCUGAUCCAGCAAGGCCGCGUGAGUGAUGAAGGCCGUAGAGUUGUAAAGCUCUUUUACCCGGGAUGAUAAUGACAGUACCGGAAGAAUAAGCACCGGCUAACUCCGUG
RNAcentral lists this ribosomal RNA (433 nucleotides) under uncultured bacterium. Its description in RNAcentral is "partial 16S ribosomal RNA". It matches the Rfam family "Bacterial small subunit ribosomal RNA", at positions 29 to 507 of the family's 1533-position model. The record is from RNAcentral.